AAAGAAUAGAUGAAAAGAAAAGAAAUUCGAUCGUUAGAAUCAUUCUCUCUCUUACAUAUCAUCAUUAUACGCAAAUGGCUUUAAUCAGGAGUGUAAUUCCAUUCUUGGUCAUAGACAAAAACAAACUUCUGUAAAGCUUGAGGUAUUAGCGUAGAUGGGUGUAAUCCGUUCCAAGGAAAUAUUAAGUAUCAUCAUCAUCAUGCCCAUACCGGGCUUGAUGUAAGGCCUAACACUCCGGAUGUAAAAUAUUUGAUGCCCAAUACAAUUUAUAAAGGGAAAAAUACACAAGGAAAAAAUUCACAAACCAAAU
RNAcentral lists this long non-coding RNA (310 nucleotides) under Olea europaea (common olive). RNAcentral describes it as "long non-coding RNA (OEUR_LNC015089)". Lineage: Eukaryota; Viridiplantae; Streptophyta; Magnoliopsida; Lamiales; Oleaceae. The record is from RNAcentral.